Molecule: ribosomal RNA, 253 nt
Filed under: uncultured bacterium
Lineage: Bacteria
Description: partial 16S ribosomal RNA
Rfam family: Bacterial small subunit ribosomal RNA
Source: RNAcentral
UACGGCGGGGGCAAGCGUUGUUCGGAAUUACUGGGCGUAAAGGGCCCGUAGGCGGCCAACUAAGUCGGAUGUGAAAUCCCCAGGCUUAACCUGGGAACUGCAUCCGAUACUGGAUGGCUUGAAUUCGGGAGAGGGAUGCAGAAUUCCAGGUGUAGCGGUGAAAUGCGUAGAUAUCUGGAGGAAUACCGGUGGCGAAGGCGGCAUCCUGGACCGACAUUGACGCUGAACGGCGAAAGCUAGGGGAGCAAACGGG